Molecule: ribosomal RNA, 304 nt
Filed under: uncultured eukaryote
Lineage: Eukaryota
Description: partial 18S ribosomal RNA
Rfam family: Eukaryotic small subunit ribosomal RNA
Source: RNAcentral
CCCUUAGAUAUCCUAGGCUGCACGCGAGCUACAAUGGUAUAUAUAAAAGGUUGCUGCUCUGAGAAGACUGGCAAUACCCUGAUAUAUAUCGUAUUUGGAAUAGAUUUUUGUAAUUAUCAAUCUUGAACGAGGAAUUCCUAGUAAAAAUAUUUCAUCAUAAUGUUUUGAUUGUGUCCCUGCCCUUUGUGCACACCGCCCGUCGCUCCUACCGAUUGAAUAUUCCGGUGAGAAGAUAGGAGAAAAAUCUUUUGAUUUUUUGAAUAUUUUUGAACCUUGAUAUUUAGAGGAAGGAGAAGUCGUAACA